RNAcentral lists this long non-coding RNA (836 nucleotides) under Monodelphis domestica (gray short-tailed opossum). RNAcentral's name for it is "lncRNA (ENSMODG00000043521.1)". The record is from RNAcentral. Lineage: Eukaryota; Metazoa; Chordata; Mammalia; Didelphimorphia; Didelphidae.
GAAGAGAUAGAAAAAUUCACCUGCUGACACCUUUGCAGAGGUGGGAGGUUCACGGGUAUGGAACAUUACAUCUGAAGGGUUUUUUUUAGUGUAUUGAUUGAUUUUUAUCAAUGAAUCAAUAAGCAUUUAUUAAGUGCCUACUAUGCUAAGUACCAGGAGUCAAAAAGAAGCAAAAGACAGUCCAUGCACUCAAGUAGACUACAAUCUAAUGGGGGAGACAACAUGCAAACAAUAUAUAUUUACAUAUAUGUAAUAUAUCAUAUAUAAUUUAUAUAUAUAAAACAAGCUCUAUAUGAUAUAAACAGGACGUAAUUAACAGAGGGAAAACAUUGAAAUUAAGAGGGGUUGGGAAAGGUUUCUUAUACCAGGUGGAAUUUUAGUAGGGACUUAAAAGAAGUCAGAACAAAGGAGAGAGCAUUUUUGCCACAGGGGGACAGCCAGAAAAAAAUUUCUGGAGGCAAGGGAUGGAGUGUCUUGUUCAUGGAACAGCCAGGAGGACAUUAUCACUGGAUUGAAGAUCACCUGUCUUUGGGCAAAGAAUUUUCUUGGUUAUAAAGGAAUGGCUCUCUGGGGAAAGAACUUCAAGAGAAAAUUUAAGGUCAAUGAGUAUCCAGAGAUAAAAUGAACCAGGUUAUGGACUCAUGAACUUCAAAAGGUCAGAAGAACCAUCAGAAUUCCCCUCAGCAACCAGUCAAUAGCCCAGAGCUGGUCAGAACAUUAGCUAAGUCCAUUAUGGAGUGGUACCUGAGAAGUGAUUUCUUGACUCAUUGCAACAAGAUGCUGACCCAGCACCUGGGACAUUGCAUCCUUUAAGGAGUUAGCCCAGCUGAGAAAGG